CAAAAACAUGUCUUUUUGUAUUAAAUUUAAAGUCUAACCUGCCCAUUGAAUAAUUUUUAACGGCUGCGGUAUUUUGACCGUACAAAGGUAGCAUAAUCAUUAGUUUUUUAAUUGGAAACUUGUAUGAAUGGUUAAACGAGAUACUGUCUGUUUCAUAAAAAUUUAUAGAAAUUAAUUUUUUAGUAAAAAAGCUAAAAUGUUAUUAAAAGACGAGAAGACCCUAUAGAGUUUUAUAUAAAAAUUUUAUGUUUUAUAAAUAAGAAUUUUAGAUUUAUUAUUUUUUAUAUUUUGUUGGGGUGACAAUAAAAUUUAUUAAUCUUUUAUUAAUAUAUUACAAUGAUUUUUGAAUAAUUGAUCCUUUUAUAUUGAUUACAAGAUUAAAUUACCUUAGGGAUAACAGCGUAAUUUUUUUGUAGAGUUCUUAUCAAUAAAAAUUUUUGCGACCUCGAUGUUGGAUUAAGAAUAAUUUUAGGUGUAGAAGCUUAAUAAAUUAGGUCUGUUCGACCUUUAAUUUCUUACGUGAUCUGAGU
RNAcentral lists this ribosomal RNA (530 nucleotides) under Sceptonia sp. ER-22. Its description in RNAcentral is "partial 16S ribosomal RNA". It matches the Rfam family "Bacterial large subunit ribosomal RNA", at positions 1808 to 2610 of the family's 2925-position model. Lineage: Eukaryota; Metazoa; Arthropoda; Insecta; Diptera; Mycetophilidae. The record is from RNAcentral.